GGCCACGUAGUUCAACUGGAUAGAAUAUCAGAUUUCGGCUCUGAGGGUUGAGGGUUCGAGUCCUUCCGUGGUCACAA
Molecule: transfer RNA, 77 nt
Filed under: Mangrovimonas spongiae
Lineage: Bacteria; Pseudomonadati; Bacteroidota; Flavobacteriia; Flavobacteriales; Flavobacteriaceae
Description: Mangrovimonas sp. HN-E26 tRNA-Arg
Rfam family: tRNA
About the family: Transfer RNA (tRNA) molecules are approximately 80 nucleotides in length.
Source: RNAcentral